GGAACAAUGGAGUUACUCCUGAUUUACACCAGGGUAAGAGGAGAACCAGUCCGAAGUUCUAGGGAGUUCAGUUCCUGCUCAUCCCAGAAAUAAUCUGGUUGCUGGAGGAAGGAUUAAAACAGCUGAAUUUGUGGAGCUCAGUGAAAUGGCAAUGGAUCAUGGUAACAACUAUGUGAAGGGUGUGAACAGCUGAUCGCUUUGUGAAAUUGUCCAGAUUUUGACUUUGUCCCGAUUCAGCUCUGGAAACAUUUUCGAUAUCGCCAAAAUUCUUGUGGGAUGGGAAACCUGUUUCUGCCCAGCUCUGCUUGACAAGCACUUAUCCAUCCUCUUGAUCCCCUGUGAGGUAGGUAAACGUUCAUGCCCCAUUUUUACAUAUGAGCAGGCAGAAGAGCAGAGCGGGUUAGUGACUUGUGAGAGUCACAUGGCAGAUAUGUGGCCGAACUGCAGGUGGAACCCAGGAGUCCUGAUUGCUAUAACCACUAGGUAACACUACCUUCAGAGGUGAACCAGAACAGGGGAGUCCCUAACCACUUAUCCCCUGCUCUAACCACUGGAUCACACUCUCCUGCCAGAGCUGAGAAUCAAACCAAGGCGUCCGGUGUCCCAGCCUUCUGCUCUAACACCCCUCUGCCAUGUAACAUGUUUUCAUUUGCUUUGGGAGCACAACAAGAACCAAAGCCACCUGGGGAAUCCAGCCCCAAGAUGUGGCCUGGAUGCGCCUUUGAGCAGUGGACUGUGCAGAUACUUUCCCUUUAGUGAGUUCCCCACUGCCCCCACCCUCAGCCCUCCCUGAACAGACAAACAAGGCGACUAAUCUGAUGCAAGGACAGCACCGUAAAUGGCCAUCCUGACGGACUCCUGGAAUUCCACUUGGGGCAGUGGCUUCUGGAAGGAUCAAAGCCAGGCAGCUCAUCAGACGGUCACCUGCCAGCCAGAGACAAGUGCUCUUGUGUUCCUCUAGGGAUGCCGUGUGACUUGCGGAGCUUUUUAAAUAGAAGGGCUGAUCUCACAAUGGGUAAAAUGUUUCCCUGAUCUCACGCUCAUCUGCUAAGGUCAAGGUUCAGAGAGAGGAAGCAGCCACCACAGACAGCACCCCCCCACCACGCCCCCAAUCCCAGACGCUCCGGGGUCCCCACACAUGACAUCAUUUCCCACCAAUCGCAGACGAUGGACGUCUUAUGGUCUGGGAGCCGGGAGGCCCACUUCCCUUUUUUUUUCAAUGCAAGAUCAACUGCGCACGGUGGAAACUGACCCAGCCUGGAUCCGAGAGGGGAGAAGACUCUUUGCUUCUGAUGAGCACCGGCACAUUCAGCAGAUGGCUGGACACCUGGGGCAUUGGCAUUGGGCCCCGCACUUCUCAGAGGGGAGGGCCUCUCCCCAUUGGCUUGAAGCCCCCCUUCUAGUUGCCAGCCCCUUACCCACCACCUAAUUCAAACUGGUCAAACCCUUGCCCCGCCCUUAGCACCCUGUUCCCCCUCUUCCCCAGUUGCUCCAAUUCUCCAGCAAUGUCCUGUCAAAGCCCCCCGUCCCUGGUCAGCCCUGUGCCAAACCCUCCCCCACCUUCAGGAAGGUCCCCACCUGUCUUACUGUGCACCAAGCCCACCAACCCCCGGCCAGUGCCGGGGUCACCAAUCAGACUCAUACAGUGAGUGAAAGCCAUGGCAAAUGGCAGUAACCUCUCCUCCCCGCCGAGUCAUUAGCCAUCCAAACAAAUGUGCCCCCGGGAACGAAGGUGCCUGUGCCAAGGGCACUGUGACCCCAGUGCCUCAGGUUUCACAGGACAAAGGCGUGUUCUGCACCAGACUCUCCUUUCUCAGUCCCCGGGGAGGCGUUUCCUUUUACAGGCCGUGGAGAGCAGCGGACGUCAGCAAGUCCUCUCGGCUGGAUUGGAUACUGACUCCAUUUAAGGCCUUAGCUAUGCUGGGAAUUAGCCCCAAGUCCAGCCCCUGGUGUAGCUGUGCCCAUGUGAACCCCCUCAGUGCAGGCGAGCACCGAUGCUAUUUGCACCAGGGGAGCUUGAAACUGGGGGGGGGGGUUGUGUGGGGACAGAUCACAGCUUUCCUGCUGUAUACUGGGGGCAUGCAGGGUUGCAGCUGCUUCAGUGACUAACUAAUUUCCAGUGUAGCUAAGGCCUAUUGCUAAGCCUCUGCCCUUCCUCAACACUUCCCAUUCGAGGAUCUCAAGGCACUUCCAUGACAUCAGGCCCAUGUUGGGAGGGUAUCGUUAUCCCUUUUCUUUAGAAACAGGGAAACCGAGGCACAGAGCAGUGAAAGGAUUUGCCCAAGGUCACACAGCGAGUCAGUGGCAGAAUUAGGAAGUGCACCUGAUGCCCAGGCCCCUGCUCUGAUCUCUAGACUGUGCUGUGCACAAUCAGCAUUUCUCCUCCUCCUGUCUUGGCAUCCCCUGAUUUAAGUCCUUUAUCCCUAAUAUCCAAGAACUUGAGACACACACACAUCCCCUUGGCAUAAAAGUGGGACUCUCCGGGUCAUGUCAUGGGGAAAUGCAAACAGUGAUGUGAAAGGGACAGCAGGGGCAUGCUGCAGA
Molecule: long non-coding RNA, 2544 nt
Organism: Dermochelys coriacea (leatherback sea turtle)
Lineage: Eukaryota; Metazoa; Chordata; Testudines; Dermochelyidae
Exons: 2
Source: RefSeq, a predicted model, not a curated record